GGCUUUUGUUUUGUUUUUAAAACAGCUACAAUUUGUUUCACACUGGUGCUAACUAUAUUAGGACAUUUAGGUUAGAUAUGCCUAACAUGAAAAUUAUCAUAGCUUAUGUAGCCCUUGGAGCUAGUCGUGUUUUUAACUUACAUACUUUACUGCAAGGCAUGUGGGUCUACUGUUAAUGUGUUCUAUUUGAAGAGGAAUUUCAUUUAAUAUGAUAAAAGAAAAGCGGAUUUAAACAAAUAUUCACUAUAAAGAAAGGGAAAAUAUUUUGAAAAGAAAAGUUCAAGUAACCAAGAAGAUUUUUAGAAAUUAAAUUAUCCAUUGUGUUAAACAUGAUGAUAUCUCUAUUUCAAACGUUUACGUAUGCAAGACAAUAUAUCAUUUUUAUCGUAUUAUAUUGUCUUAUUUAAAAAUGUCAGUGCGUUGAAUACCCAAAGUCUGUGGAGUACUUGUUAGGAAGUUUUACAGAAAUCACAUUUUGAAACUCUGUUCACAGAACACACAUUAUGAAACGCUGUUCACGGAACACACAUUUUGAAACGCUGUUUAAAAACACACAUUUUGAAGCGCUGUUCACAGAAAACACAUUUUGACGCGCUUUUCAAACACCACACAAUUUGAAGCGCUGUUCACAGAAAAGACAUUUUGAAGCGCUGUUCAUGGAACACACAUUUUCAAGCGCUGUUCACGGAACACACAUUUUGAAGCGCUGUUCACAGAACACACAUUUUGAAACACUGCAUAACAAAAUAUUUGAUUUUGUUCAUUUUCAGAUGAGCUGUCCCCCUUCAUCAAACUCACAAGCACUGCUCUUGAGAAGAGACUCCUUGUAUCCGAUGAUUUAUUGAAAAAUAGAGUCCCUGUUUUUAAAAAAAGGCACCAAUUAUUCCAUUUUCAUUGGCAAAUAGAGUCAAACCACCCAUCCUUACCAGGUUAAACCAACAGCUGGCAUUGAGAAGGAAAUUCUUCCCUGGAAGCAAGAACUGACUAAACAGGAAAUGAAGCCAUCCACCCUUGUCAAACAUGGCAUAGAUAGGAUACGAACGUUUUACACCUCAGACGACGCCUUCAGCACUCAUUCUGUAGUGUCAAGCUCAGAGCGCAAAGUGAGAGCUGAUAUGGAGGAAAGUGAAGAGGAUGCAGAAGUUGGUACGUGGUUAGACAAAAGUGAAGAGCAGUUUGAACUUCGUACGUCAAUAGACAUACGCCUGAGUAUGUUGUCUCCCGUGAUAUAUCAUACCCAUGUAUGUAUGUAUCAAUAUGUUGUGAUUUUGUAAUCUUAAACAAAUGAUAUGCCAUUGCACUUCCUCAGACAAACAUGGUU
This is a long non-coding RNA of Ostrea edulis (European flat oyster), 1321 nucleotides long. RefSeq lists it as uncharacterized. The transcript has 3 exons. The record is from RefSeq and is a predicted model, not a curated record. NCBI's taxonomy places the organism in Eukaryota, Metazoa, Mollusca, Bivalvia, Ostreida, Ostreidae.